UACGUAGGGUGCGAGCGUUAAUCGGAAUUACUGGGCGUAAAGCGCGCGUAGGCGGUUAUUUAAGUCUGUGGUGAAAGGUUCAGCGCUCAACGCGAACAUUGCCCUGGAUACUGGAUGACUUGAGUCUGGGAGAGGGUAGCGGAAUUCCUGGUGUAGCGGUGAAAUGCGUAGAUAUCAGGAGGAACACCGGUGGCGAAGGCGGCUACCUGGCCUAAGACUGACGCUGAGGUGCGAAAGCGUGGGGAGCGAACGGG
Molecule: ribosomal RNA, 254 nt
Filed under: uncultured bacterium
Lineage: Bacteria
Description: partial 16S ribosomal RNA
Rfam family: Bacterial small subunit ribosomal RNA
Source: RNAcentral